GACGAACGCUGGCGGCGUGCUUAACACAUGCAAGUCGAACGGAAAGGCCUCUUUCGGGGGGUACUCGAGUGGCGAACGGGUGAGUAACACGUGAGUAACCUGCCCUUGACUUUGGGAUAACUUCAGGAAACUGGGGCUAAUACCGGAUAGGAGCUCCUGCUGCAUGGUGGGGGUUGGAAAGUUUCGGCGGUUGGGGAUGGACUCGCGGCUUAUCAGCUUGUUGGUGGGGUAGUGGCUUACCAAGGCUUUGACGGGUAGCCGGCCUGAGAGGGUGACCGGCCACAUUGGGACUGAGAUACGGCCCAGACUCCUACGGGAGGCAGCAGGGGGGAAUAUUGCACAAGGGGUGGAAGCCGGAUGCAGCAACGCCGUGUGCGGGAUGACGGCCUUCGGGUUGUAAACCGCUUUCGCUCAUGACGAAGCUUUGUGUGACGGUAGUGGGUAAAGAAGCACCGGCUAACUACGUG
Molecule: ribosomal RNA, 467 nt
Filed under: uncultured bacterium
Lineage: Bacteria
Description: partial 16S ribosomal RNA
Rfam family: Bacterial small subunit ribosomal RNA
Source: RNAcentral